AUACGUAGGGUGCGAGCGUUGUCCGGAAUUACUGGGCGUAAAGAGCUCGUAGGUGGUUUGUCGCGUCGUCUGUGAAAUUCCGGGGCUUAACUCCGGGCGUGCAGGCGAUACGGGCAUAACUUGAGUACUGUAGGGGAGACUGGAAUUCCUGGUGUAGCGGUGAAAUGCGCAGAUAUCAGGAGGAACACCGGUGGCGUAGGCGGGUAUCUGGGGAGUAACUGACGCUGAGGAGCGAAAGCAUGGGUAGCGAACAGGAUUAGAUACCCUGGUAGUCCAUGCCGUAAACGGUGGGCGCUAGGUGUAGGGGUCUUCCACGACUUCUGUGCCGUAGCUAACGCAUUAAGCGCCCCGCCUGGGGAGUACGGCCGCAAGGCUAAAACUCAAAUGAAUUGACGGGG
Molecule: ribosomal RNA, 398 nt
Filed under: uncultured bacterium
Lineage: Bacteria
Description: partial 16S ribosomal RNA
Rfam family: Bacterial small subunit ribosomal RNA
Source: RNAcentral